RNAcentral lists this ribosomal RNA (227 nucleotides) under uncultured bacterium. RNAcentral's name for it is "partial 16S ribosomal RNA". It matches the Rfam family "Bacterial small subunit ribosomal RNA", at positions 107 to 334 of the family's 1533-position model. The record is from RNAcentral.
UGAGUAACACGUAUCCAACCUGCCGUCUACUCUUGGACAGCCUUCUGAAAGGAAGAUUAAUACAAGAUGGCAUCAUGAGUCCGCAUGUUCACAUGAUUAAAGGUGUUCCGGUAGACGAUGGGGAUGCGUUCCAUUAGAUAGUAGGCGGGGUAACGGCCCACCUAGUCUUCGAUGGGUAGGGGUUCUGAGAGGAAGGUCCCCCACAUUGGAACUGAGACACGGUCCAA